GAAGAAUGGUGUGGCAUGAUGGUGUGGCGGGAGGUUGUAGCCAGAGAGAGAGUUAGGGAGAGAUAGGGAGUGAAUGUUGGAGAAGGGAAGGAUCUGCCGGGUGAGUGAGAUGCUUGGGGAAAUAGAGUGGGGUAGCUGGAGCCUUGGGGGAAGAAUGACAGGGUGAGUUGGGGCAAUUAGGACAUGUCGUAGACAGCGGGCGGAGAGAGAGACAAUGGACGAGAAGGAGUGGUGUGUGUGUGUGGCCGACGGGGGUCGAUAGGUAGACGAUGGUUGCCGAGGUUGGCAACGCAAGUGAAUGAAAAUGGUGUGCGUGCGUGGCCUGGUCUAGGUCGAGAGAUGGUUAGUGGUCGCCGAUAUCGGUGACGAGAGGGAAUGAUCAGAGUGUGUGUGAGUGGCCUGGUAUGGGUCGAGAGAUGGCUAACGGUCGCCGAUGUUGGUGACGAAAAUCAAAUGAAUAAAAAUGGUGUGCGUGCGUGGCCUGGUAUAGGUCGAGAGAUGGUUAGUGGUCGCCGAUAUCGGUGACGAGAGGGAAUGGUCAGAGUGUGUGUGAGUGACCUGGUAUAGGUCGUGAGAUGGCGAACGGUCGCCGAUGGUGGUGACGGGAGAGAAGGAUUAGAGUGUGUAUAUGUGGCCUGACAGGGGGUCGAUAGGUGAAUGAUGGUCGCCGUUGUUAGUGACGAAAAUGAUUGAAACUCGUGUGCGUGUGUGGCCACUAGGGGUCAAUAGGUGUUAAUGGUUGCCAAAUCUUGGCGGUGAAUGGUACCACUGGUACGCCUGGAGUGCCGUCAGGGAACGGACACCUAGGGUAGGUAGAGUUGUAGGUGCAGGAGGAAAAAUUGGAGUUCCGUAGUGAACUAUUGGUAGAGGCAUAGGGUUUUAUAUUGUUGCACCUCACGCAUGUAUUUUGAGUUUUACCGUACUGAGUUAAAUGAACUCACUCUUUCUCUUUUUACAGAUGAUGUAGGGAUGGAGUCUGGAUCGAAGUUGUUGGAUUCCGAACCUAAUGUGUAGAGUACAAGGUGAAGAGUUUCGUUUUGUUUUGACUGAAUGGAAUAUGUAGAAUUGAUGGUAGUAUAGAUAUUGAGUAUGGUUGUAUUGUGUGCGAUAUAUUGUCUAUGAUUGUAGGAUUAUCUUGAUCAUUGGAUAGUGCUAGUGUUUCCUUUUUACAGAUGAUGUAGGGACGGAGUCUGGAUCGAAGUUGUUGGAUUCCGAACCUAGUGUGUAGAGUACAGAAUAAAGAGUUUCAUUUUAUUUUGACUGAAUGGAAUAUGUAGAAUUGAUGGUAGUAUAGAUAUUGAGUAUGGUUGUAUUGUGUGCGAUGUCUUGCCCAUGAUUGUAGGACUAUCUUGAUCAUUGGAUAAUGGAUUAUGUUAGUGGUUCCUUGUGCAUGACCGUUUUGUUAUGGAAUUGGUUGCUUGUUAAGUACGUCCAAUAUGAAAAAAAAAUGGGGCGUUACAUAAGAUCUCUUUUUUGACCUCUUCCCUCCUUUUUUUUUGGAUUGGACUUUUUCUUUAUGGUCCGCGUCCAUGCUCACAUCAGUUUGGGUACAAGUUAUGGGAUCCAAUAAAAAGAAAGUCAUUAGGUCCAUAAAUGUGAUCUUUGAUGAACACAAGUCCUUGUUGAACUUUGAGACAUUAGAGAAGACUACAAGAAGUAAAUAUAUUCAUCUUCCUAUACUUGUUAAAAGAUCAAUUAGAACACAUCAUCCAUUCUUAUAUCCCAAUUCUAAGUAUAUCAUGAUUACUAAAAAAAAAAGAGCCAGAGAACUUCCAAUAUGUUUAUAUUCACAAAGAAAAAACUUAGUGGAUUAACACAAUGCAGUAAGAGAUGAGUUCUUUGAAUAAGAUUC
Molecule: long non-coding RNA, 1852 nt
Filed under: Carica papaya (papaya)
Lineage: Eukaryota; Viridiplantae; Streptophyta; Magnoliopsida; Brassicales; Caricaceae
Description: long non-coding RNA (CPAP_LNC004156)
Source: RNAcentral